RNAcentral lists this unclassified non-coding RNA (247 nucleotides) under Hevea brasiliensis (rubber tree). The record is from RNAcentral. Lineage: Eukaryota; Viridiplantae; Streptophyta; Magnoliopsida; Malpighiales; Euphorbiaceae.
AGGAAAUGGGACUUUUAGAUGGUCAGAUGGAAGUUUUUAUGUGGGUGUUUGGAGUAAAGAUCCUAAAGAGCAAAAUGGGACUUAUUAUCCUUCUGGAUCUAAGUCAGGGAAUUUGGAUUGGAAUCCACAAGAGUUGUUUUUGGAGGACAUGAGUGAUUGCCAAAUUUCUGCUUGUGAAAAGGUCUCAAUUUUCCCAUCACAUAAGACCUUGAAUUGGGCUGGUAUUGAUCAAGGGAGUGUUAAGCCA